GAGAGAUGGCUGAGCGGUCUAAGGCAGCGGUCUUGAAAACCGCCGUAGGUUCUCCUACCGUGGGUUCGAAUCCCACUCUCUCC
Molecule: transfer RNA, 83 nt
Filed under: human gut metagenome
Also listed under: 1 other name
Rfam family: tRNA
About the family: Transfer RNA (tRNA) molecules are approximately 80 nucleotides in length. Their secondary structure includes four short double-helical elements and three loops (D, anti-codon, and T loops).
Source: RNAcentral